RNAcentral lists this ribosomal RNA (253 nucleotides) under uncultured bacterium. RNAcentral's name for it is "partial 16S ribosomal RNA". It matches the Rfam family "Bacterial small subunit ribosomal RNA", at positions 524 to 776 of the family's 1533-position model. The record is from RNAcentral.
UACGAAGGGGGCUAGCGUUGUUCGGAUUUACUGGGCGUAAAGCGCACGUAGGCGGAUCGAUCAGUCAGGGGUGAAAUCCCAGAGCUCAACUCUGGAACUGCCUUUGAUACUGUCGAUCUGGAGUAUGGAAGAGGUGAGUGGAAUUCCGAGUGUAGAGGUGAAAUUCGUAGAUAUUCGGAGGAACACCAGUGGCGAAGGCGGCUUACUGGUCCGGUUCUGACGCUGAGGCGCGAAAGCGUGGGGAGCAAACAGG